UCCUGACUGACCGAUAGUGAACCAGUACCGUGAGGGAAAGGCGAAAAGAACCCCGGCGAGGGGAGUGAAAAAGAACCUGAAACCGUGUACGUACAAGCAGUGGGAGCACGCUUAGGCGUGUGACUGCGUACCUUUUGUAUAAUGGGUCAGCGACUUAUAUUCUGUAGCAAGGUUAACCGAAUAGGGGAGCCGAAGGGAAACCGAGUCUUAACUGGGCGUUAAGUUGCAGGGUAUAGACCCGAAACCCGGUGAUCUAGCCAUGGGCAGGUUGAAGGUUGGGUAACACUAACUGGAGGACCGAACCGACUAAUGUUGAAAAAUUAGCGGAUGACUUGUGGCUGGGGGUGAAAGGCCAAUCAAACCGGGAGAUAGCUGGUUCUCCCCGAAAGCUAUUUAGGUAGCGCCUCGUGAAUUCAUCUCCGGGGGUAGAGCACUGUUUCGGCAAGGGGGUCAUCCCGACUUACCAACCCGAUGCAAACUGCGAAUACCGGAGAAUGUUAUCACGGG
RNAcentral lists this ribosomal RNA (507 nucleotides) under Shigella sonnei. RNAcentral's name for it is "partial 23S ribosomal RNA". It matches the Rfam family "Bacterial large subunit ribosomal RNA", at positions 474 to 981 of the family's 2925-position model. Lineage: Bacteria; Pseudomonadati; Pseudomonadota; Gammaproteobacteria; Enterobacterales; Enterobacteriaceae. The record is from RNAcentral.